GAUGAAGAACGUAGCAAGCUGCGAUACGUAAUGUGAAUUGCAGAAUUCAGUGAAUCAUCGAAUCUUUGAACGCAUAUUGCGCCUUUUGGGGUUCUUCUCCAGAGGGCACGCCUGUCCGAGCGUCAUUUCAACCCUCGAACCCCUCCGGGGGGUCGGCGUUGGGGAUCGGCCCUUUCACCGGGUGCCGGCCCCUAAAUACAGUGGCGGUCUCGCCGCAGCCUCUCAUGCGCAGUAGUUUGCACACUCGCACCGGGAGCGCGGCGCGUCCUCGUCCGUAAAACACCCCAAACUUCUGAAAUGUUGACCUCGGAUCAGGUAGGAAUACCCGCUGAACUUAAGCAUAUCAAUAAGCGGAGGA
RNAcentral lists this unclassified non-coding RNA (358 nucleotides) under soil metagenome. Its description in RNAcentral is "partial contains 5.8S ribosomal RNA, internal transcribed spacer 2, and large subunit ribosomal RNA". The stretch from base 1 to 125 matches the Rfam family "5.8S ribosomal RNA", at positions 35 to 154 of the family's 154-position model. The record is from RNAcentral.